UUUCCUCUCGAUCCGUCCUGGAUAGGCUGAUUUGUAAAAGAAGUUUUUCAUAACACCCUAUUCAUAUUAGCAUAACAUAGAGAUUCAAUUUUGCAAAACACGCCCUAUUUUUAGCAUUUCAGCUCAGCAUUUUUCAUAAAACACCCUAGUUCCUAUCUCCUAGAGUUUCUUAGCGGCGGCCGGCGGAUCUGUGUUGAGGCCGUGUUGAACGCUGAGGAGUCGAGGGCAGUGGCAUAGGCGGGGGAGGCGUUUCUUGGUGGCUGGCGCAGUGAUGCCACGGAGGAAUAAGGGCAGCGAACCGGUGAGUGUUGCGGGCAGGGGAAGCACGAAUGCGCGGCAAGCAGCUCCUUGGAUUAGAUCGCCGCCCCCUCCCUGCGAAGAGCUCUCCUCCACCCUAAGAUUCUCUGUCUGCAUCCGCCGCUGCUAGAGUCCUGCAGCCAGGGUGGCGUCUUGGCAGCCAACCCAUGAAGAUUUAGGUAUUGUGCUUUUCGUAGGACCCUCAAAAGCACUGGUGAGAGAACUGAUAGCUGAUUCUUUGGAUGAUGUCUUUGAGAAAUCAGACCCAACGGAUUUUGGGAAGAGUUUCCGGACAGCAGGGGGAGGGGUGGAAAGAUUUCGGGUACUUGGAUUCUCAAAUGCAGAAGCUAUUGCAGUGAAAGCUGGAGAUCUUCCUCGGACACGGUGACGUUCUGGACUGUGGGACAUACUUCUUGUGCGCUGAGAUUUAUCUUGUCCUGCGUUCCUUCCUGAAAAUGCUGCUGUUCGCCUUUUGGGUUUCUGGCAACACAUAACAAACAUUCAGGUAAGUUAAUCUAUAUAGAUUGAAAGAGGGGUCACUAUAUUGCUUACUACUAGAAAAUUUCCCUAGUUAGAAAGGCACUUAGACAAUACAUCACCAAACAUGUAGCUGUAUAAAAAUGUACAACUGGGCAAGAAAAAAGAGAUCAUCAAAUGCUAGCUGCCUGUAACACUUAUCUCAAA
Oryza brachyantha (malo sina) is the source of this 981-nucleotide long non-coding RNA. RefSeq lists it as uncharacterized. The record is from RefSeq and is a predicted model, not a curated record. The transcript is spliced from 2 exons. NCBI's taxonomy places the organism in Eukaryota, Viridiplantae, Streptophyta, Magnoliopsida, Poales, Poaceae.